CGCAACCUUCCCGAAACAGGUGAAUAGCCCUCCGAAAGGAGGAUUAAUACACCGUAAGAUAUAGAGAUGGCAUCAUUUUUAUAUUAUAGGCCGCAAGGCUGGUUUUGGAUGGGCGUGCGCCUGACUAGGUAGUUGGUGCAGGUAACAGCUCACCAAGCCUUCGAUCAGUAACUGGUGUGAGAGCACGACCAGUCACACGGGCACUGAGACACGGGCCCG
This 219-nucleotide ribosomal RNA is filed under the name uncultured bacterium. Its description in RNAcentral is "partial 16S ribosomal RNA". It matches the Rfam family "Bacterial small subunit ribosomal RNA", at positions 120 to 334 of the family's 1533-position model. The record is from RNAcentral.